This 253-nucleotide ribosomal RNA is filed under the name uncultured bacterium. Its description in RNAcentral is "partial 16S ribosomal RNA". It matches the Rfam family "Bacterial small subunit ribosomal RNA", at positions 524 to 776 of the family's 1533-position model. The record is from RNAcentral.
UACGGGGGGUGCAAGCGUUGCUCGGAAUCACUGGGCGUAAAGCGUCCGCAGGCGGACCAUUAAGUCGGUCGUGAAAGCCCGGGGCUCAACCCCGGAACUGCGAUCGAAACUGGUGGUCUUGAGUUCGGGAGAGGGAGGUGGAAUUCCAGGUGUAGAGGUGAAAUUCGUAGAUAUCUGGAGGAACACCGGUGGCGAAAGCGGCCUCCUGGCCCGAUACUGACGCUCAUGGACGAAAGCGUGGGGAGCAAACAGG